UACAAAAAUAGGCAAAGAGACCCUCAACAAAAGACCCGUUGAAUAACAUAACGGGUCUCUUUAAUAUAGGAGAUCUUAUAUUAGUGAUAACGGGUCUCUAAUGUGUACGGGACCCACAAAUCGUACCAAGUCUAAAAGAGAAAAGACCCCCUAAAUAAGCUAACGGGUCUCUACUUGUCAUCGGGUCCACUAGUAUUGCGGUUGAAAAAAAAAAAUUGGGACGAAGACCUAAUAGCUAAGAACACGGGUCUCUUUCUUCCUCCUAAAUUACAAAAAUAAAUAAAAUUCAUUGCCUUUUGUUCUUUCAAACUCGCCAGCCUCCCAGCCUCCAAACUUCCAAACUCACACUCUUUCAUCCUUUAUCACUACGCUCCGGUAGCUCAGACUUCCCCAAAGUUCGGAGUGGCUGGACUCCAUAAAUCAUCGAUUAAUUCACCGAAAAAUGGUCGGUUAGAAAGGAGUUGAUCGGCGUUGUCGUCGUCUUGAACAUCGGUGUUGUCGUCAUCUUGUCGAUGUUUAAUUCGAUGAUGGUUCGAUCUAUUGAUCGAUCCCGAUUCAAUGUGUUCUUGAGGUUGCGCCACAUUUUGGGGAGAAUAUGGUUGUGAUUUUUUCUAUGGAUGGUACCGACGGUCUUGUUCGUGGUCAACCAUUUUAAACAUUGGAUCUUCUAUUACUGAACCCCGUCAACAUAUGAAUUUUGGACAUAACAAAAAAUUGCAUUCUUGUGGAUGGAUCGAAGAGGGAUGGACUUCAUAAUUCUCGUUGAGUGAUGUAAGACUUGUGGCCUAAUUUGAGCAUGUAAAUUACAGUAAUAUAUGCUAGCAAAAUGGGAAAAAAGGAGGUUGGUUUCAGCAAUUAAGAGGAUCUUUGCAGAUAGCUCCAAGGAGAAAGUGGCUUAUGAUGUCAUGUUGAAUCACAUGGGGAACAUAGUUGGAGGCGAACAUAUGCUUUUGCCCGCAUUGGGAAGUUCAGAUUCAGAAACCACCCAAACAGAGUUGGAGGCCAACAUAUGAUUUUGCCCGCAUUGCUAAUAAUUAUUAUUCUCAAUUUUUUAAUCUUGUCACAAUUAUGUACACUUUUGAGCUUUAUUUUAUUUUAUAUUUUUGGAGAUUACAAUUGAUGUAAAUGUGAAUUUUUUUUUGUAAUUUUACGAAUUAUUUGGAAUUACCAAAUUGGUUAAAUGCUGAUUUUUAGG
Long non-coding RNA from Spinacia oleracea (spinach), 1195 nucleotides. RefSeq lists it as uncharacterized. The record is from RefSeq and is a predicted model, not a curated record. The transcript is spliced from 4 exons. NCBI's taxonomy places the organism in Eukaryota, Viridiplantae, Streptophyta, Magnoliopsida, Caryophyllales, Amaranthaceae.